RNAcentral lists this ribosomal RNA (470 nucleotides) under uncultured bacterium. RNAcentral's name for it is "bacterial SSU rRNA". It matches the Rfam family "Bacterial small subunit ribosomal RNA", at positions 56 to 524 of the family's 1533-position model. The record is from RNAcentral.
UGCAAGUCGAACGGAAAGGCCCUGCUUUUGUGGGGUGCUCGAGUGGCGAACGGGCUGAGUAACACGUGAGUAACCUGCCCUUGACUUUGGGAUAACUUCAGGAAACUGGGGCUAAUACCGGAUAGGAGCUCCUGCUGCAUGGUGGGGGUUGGAAAGUUUCGGCGGUUGGGGAUGGACUCACGGCCUAUCAGCUUGUUGGUGGGGUAAUGGCUCACCAAGGCGACGACGGGUAGCCGGCCUGAGAGGGUGACCGGCCACACUGGGACUGAGACACGGCCCGGACUCCUACGGGAGGCAGCAGUGGGGAAUAUUGCACAAUGGGCGAAAGCCUGAUGCAGCGACGCCGCGUGAGGGAUGACGGCCUUCGGGUUGUAAACCUCUUUCAGCAGGGAACAAGGCCAGGCUGUUGUCUGGUUGAGGGUACUUGCAGAAGAAGCGCCGGCUAACUACGUGCCAGCAGCCGCGGUAAU